GAUGAAGAACGUAGUGAAAUGCGAUAAGUAGUGUGAAUUGCAGAAUUCAGUGAAUCAUCGAAUCUUUGAACGCACAUUGCGCCCCUUGGUAUCCCGAGGGGCAUGCCUGUUCGAGCGUCAUUUCACCACUCAAGCCUGGCUUGGUGUUGGGCGACGUCCUCUUUGGGGACGCGCCUCGAAACGCUCGGCGGCGUGGCACCGGCUUUAAGCGUAGCAGAAUCUUUCGCUUUGGAAGUCGGGGCCCCGUCUGCCGGAAGACCUGCUCGCAAGGUUGACCUCGGAUCAGGCAGGGAUACCCGCUGAACUUAAGCAUAUCAAAAGCGGAGGA
This 328-nucleotide unclassified non-coding RNA is filed under the name soil metagenome. RNAcentral's name for it is "partial contains 5.8S ribosomal RNA, internal transcribed spacer 2, and large subunit ribosomal RNA". The stretch from base 1 to 120 matches the Rfam family "5.8S ribosomal RNA", at positions 35 to 154 of the family's 154-position model. The record is from RNAcentral.